AUUGAACGCUGGCGGCAUGCCUUACACAUGCAAGUCGAACGGCAGCACGGGAGCAAUCCUGGUGGCGAGUGGCGAACGGGUGAGUAAUAUAUCGGAACGUGCCCAGUCGUGGGGAUAACGUAGCGAAAGCUACGCUAAUACCGCAUACGAUCUAUGGAUGAAAGCGGGGGAUCGCAAGACCUCGCGCGAUUGGAGCGGCCGAUAUCAGAUUAGGUAGUUGGUGAGGUAAAGGCUCACCAAGCCGACGAUCUGUAGCUGGUCUGAGAGGACGACCAGCCACACUGGGACUGAGACACGGCCCAGACUCCUACGGGAGGCAGCAGUGGGGAAUUUUGGACAAUGGGCGCAAGCCUGAUCCAGCAAUGCCGCGUGCAGGAUGAAGGCCUUCGGGUUGUAAACUGCUUUGUUACGGAACGAACGGUAGAGCUCUAAUACAGUUUGCUAAUGACGGUACCGUAAGAAUAAGACACCGGCUAACUACGUACG
This 486-nucleotide ribosomal RNA is filed under the name uncultured bacterium. Its description in RNAcentral is "bacterial SSU rRNA". It matches the Rfam family "Bacterial small subunit ribosomal RNA", at positions 30 to 509 of the family's 1533-position model. The record is from RNAcentral.